GUGUAUGUGUGUUUGUGUGCGUUAUGGCUAACCAGGCCUGCAUGACUCAAGCAUUUCCUCCAACAAAUCACACACAUAAAAAGCAACACUCCCUCAUUUUCCACAGGUUCAUUCUUUCUAAGCCUUCUCUUGAUCUUCUCAUGCUUCAUUCUCUCUCCUUCAAACUUCGAAUAACCAUCGUGCACUCUUUUCCUCCAUCCAUUUCGGUCUUGUG
This is a long non-coding RNA of Octopus sinensis (East Asian common octopus), 214 nucleotides long. RefSeq lists it as uncharacterized. The record is from RefSeq and is a predicted model, not a curated record. The transcript has 3 exons. Lineage: Eukaryota; Metazoa; Mollusca; Cephalopoda; Octopoda; Octopodidae.